UUUCUUUGAGUCUCUGGAGCUUCUCACUUGGGGCCACGCAGCCUCAUUAGCACAAAUCUCCAUCAGGACAGUUACAAUGGAGCAAAAAUGCUUAAAAUAAUGAAAAACCCCUUUGCUGUUGAGUUGGAAAACUGGAACAGCUGGUCACACUGCAGCCCUGACCGAAACCCCCUGUGAAAAUGUGCCUCAGCACAGUAACCAGUCAGCCUUGCCACUGGCUUUGCCCAUUGUUUCUGACGCGCUGUACUGUGGUGUCCAUGCAGCUCUGCCGAGACGGAUGGCGCCAUCGAGGGCACGUGGGAGGGCAGCGCCAAUCCCGCAGCCCCCCAGACGGGGGGGGCUGCAGAAGGGGAGAGAAGGGAGGAGGGGGCCGGGGCUCCGGGGGCGUGUUUCGGAACCCCGAGCUUCGAGGAGCUGAGGAGGGCUUUCAGCGACGAGGGCAGGCACGUCAAGCUGGCCCGGCACCUCCUGCAGGAGGAGGAGGAGGAGGAUGA
RNAcentral lists this long non-coding RNA (494 nucleotides) under Lepisosteus oculatus (spotted gar). RNAcentral's name for it is "lncRNA (ENSLOCG00000023081.1)". Lineage: Eukaryota; Metazoa; Chordata; Actinopteri; Semionotiformes; Lepisosteidae. The record is from RNAcentral.